This 300-nucleotide ribosomal RNA is filed under the name uncultured Stenotrophomonas sp. RNAcentral describes it as "bacterial SSU rRNA". It matches the Rfam family "Bacterial small subunit ribosomal RNA", at positions 496 to 795 of the family's 1533-position model. The record is from RNAcentral. Lineage: Bacteria; Pseudomonadati; Pseudomonadota; Gammaproteobacteria; Lysobacterales; Lysobacteraceae.
GCUAACUUCGUGCCAGCAGCCGCGGUAAUACGAAGGGUGCAAGCGUUACUCGGAAUUACUGGGCGUAAAGCGUGCGUAGGUGGUCGUUUAAGUCCGUUGUGAAAGCCCUGGGCUCAACCUGGGAACUGCAGUGGAUACUGGGCGACUAGAGUGUGGUAGAGGGUAGCGGAAUUCCUGGUGUAGCAGUGAAAUGCGUAGAGAUCAGGAGGAACAUCCAUGGCGAAGGCAGCUACCUGGACCAACACUGACACUGAGGCACGAAAGCGUGGGGAGCAAACAGGAUUAGAUACCCUUGUAGUC